AGAUGAAAAAAUCCAACUUCGUUCGCACCCGCCUUUCAUUCUCGACCUCUUCGUGUCUUGUGUGUUUGCGGGUCUAGGUCCGCUGUGGGUCGAACUUGAGGCUUCGCUCUACAUCAUUACCGCAGUGUUCUUCGUGUUUCUCGGCGUGCCUCAUGAAUCCUUGUAAGGCAGCGAGUUUUACCGUCAAUCUCCUCCUUUUCUUUUCCACCAUUAAAACUCAAUCUUUCUCUCCUCCAUCGUGGCUUUCAAUAGCUGUUCUGCAGGAGAUAUUCUUGUCAUUUGUAACGCUGAACAGGGGAAAGAGUUGAAUGGGUUUCUGGCUGAAAAUUUGGAGGAAGUUGGAAACUCUGCUAGCUAGAAAUUAUGAAGGUCUCAUUUACAAGGAAGAUUAUGGCAAAAUUUCUGCAUAAAGCCUUGGUACUUUUGUUUUUAUGAAAUCAUGUUUACCAUUGAUCUUUGAUAUCAAAAUUAUAAAUAUGAUGAUUUUAGUUAUGUGAACAAGUGGUUUUGUGUCUCCACAGUUUAAGGGAUGUGGGUUAUCUCAUGUUUUGGGCUAGUCAUACCUAACUAUUCCAAGUGUUGCAUCAUCACUCCUCGUAUUUUAUGCAAGUCUUGCCAUCCAUUUCAAUCUUGUAC
Prosopis cineraria is the source of this 636-nucleotide long non-coding RNA. RefSeq lists it as uncharacterized. The record is from RefSeq and is a predicted model, not a curated record. The transcript is spliced from 2 exons. Lineage: Eukaryota; Viridiplantae; Streptophyta; Magnoliopsida; Fabales; Fabaceae.